UAGCAAGAUUUUAUCGAAAGGACCCAGGUA
Molecule: non-coding RNA, 30 nt
Filed under: Mus musculus (house mouse)
Lineage: Eukaryota; Metazoa; Chordata; Mammalia; Rodentia; Muridae
Source: RNAcentral